This is a non-coding RNA of Pteropus alecto (black flying fox), 489 nucleotides long. The record is from the annotation of a RefSeq genome assembly. NCBI's taxonomy places the organism in Eukaryota, Metazoa, Chordata, Mammalia, Chiroptera, Pteropodidae.
AUGAGAUCGUUGACAGGAAUAACUAUUCUCCUAAUUUUGGGUAUCAUGGGUGAUGCUAAGUCCACACAGCCGGAUGUAGUGGAGAGUACUGAAGAAGAACCCGUGCACCUGCCCUGUAACCACCCCACAAUCAGUGGAACUGAGUACAUACACUGGUAUCGACAGAUUCCCGGCCAGGGUCCAGAGUAUGUGAUUCAGGGUCUGAAAGGCAAUGUGAGCCAUGGAAUGACGUCUCUGAUCAUCGCCACAGACAGGAAGUCCAGUACCUUGAUCCUGGCCCAGGUCACCCUGAGAGACUCUGCUGCCUACUACUGCAUCUUGAGAGACACACAGUGGGAUGGAGGGGGCUGCACCUGUACAAUAUCUCCCUGGUGGGGGAGGGGAACAGCAACACCAUCUAAAGAGACCACUGCACAGGAAUGUGCAGAAAAACCCGAUAGAAGAAAAAGUGAAGAGAAGAUAGUGAAGAAAUCAAACAGCAACGGAUGA